Long non-coding RNA from Triticum dicoccoides, 2753 nucleotides. RefSeq lists it as uncharacterized. The record is from RefSeq and is a predicted model, not a curated record. The transcript has 3 exons. Lineage: Eukaryota; Viridiplantae; Streptophyta; Magnoliopsida; Poales; Poaceae.
UGCUCCUCCUUUGCUACCCACGCCUCCUGCAGUUCCUCCGCUCGGCAGCCCCCGGCAGAUCCUCUGCUGCCCCACGGACGCAACCGCGGACUGCCGCCGCCGAUGAUCCCAUCUGAUGGCGGCGCCGACCCAUCCCUGGCGCUGGAUGCGGCGACCUCCGGCAGAGGCGCGCCCGGCCGCGCCUUCCCCAGCACAGUCGCGCCGGGCUGCCUCCGCUCCUCCGGCAGCGCCGGGCCCGUCCGCCGCAGCUGCCCGCCGGCGAGGGCACAAUCGGCGCCGACCUGCACGCGCAAGGGGAGGCGGCAGGAGCAGUCGUGCAAGGGCAGGACCAGCCGUGCGGUCAAUCGAGCGAUCCUUUUUCAUCUUGGCCGCCAUGUCCCCCGCCGUCGACGACGCCCGCUGUGGCGAUCUCCGCCCUGGCGACCAGCUCUACCUCGCCUGCCAAAUCAAAUCUACGAACUAAGGUUGAUUUCUAUGACUUCAGUUCGCUGGUGGUACUGGCAUAACGCUUAUGUUGCAGGCUUCUCCAGAACGAUUCCUUAUCUCAACCAGUCAUAAGUUAGCCUGAAGACAUAAGGUGCAGAUUUUUUUUCCUUGGUAUAAGAGAUACUUUCGACUAAGCACACGUGCAAUGUUACAUUUGAGUAAGGGAUUACCAUGUUCUCUGAAUUUUCUACCCGACAGAUAUGUUCAACUAUAUUUAGAGUAUUCCGAUAAAGGCUUUACCCCCGCUUUAUAUUAUAAAGCAUCCGGAUAUUUAGAGUAUUAUACAUCUCUAAUCUGCAUAUUUUUGACCAACAUGAUAAUGUUCCAUACUUCUUAAGCCAUUUUGGUGCCACCUAUUGUACCAUCAUUUUUAGCUUCAGGUAUUGUCCUUAUUUCCAAACAAUUCCAUUGUCUUCGCUUUCUCUACUCACAUGUGUUUUUUAGUCUUCCUCUCACUCUUUUGAGCUUCUACAGAACUGAUGUCUGACUGCUAUGUUUACCCUUCUGAAUAAUACCCUUAUCAAGUUUUCAGCUUUUAAUGUAAAACCAUAACCAAUUACGCACGUGUUACCGAAAUUUUGGAGUUCUUUUUCACCUUUUCUUGUCCGGUUGUGGAUAAAAAAAACUUAUGCUGAAUCAUUACGUCUCCGGACGAGCAGUGCAGAUUUGAGAGUUAGGUUAUUUGUCAAAAGUUUUCCGUUUUAUCCAUACAAUAGAAAAAUUAGUUUUACAUAAUUUGAAUGUGUGCUCACAUGAGCUUGUAAACUUCUCUCAUGUGUCCACACAAGGGCGGAGGGAAGAUUCUUUCUGUGAAGUAACCUAUUUUGUAUGAAGUUGUAGUUGAUUUUGUCGGACUGGGAAGUGAUGGAUGCACCAAGGACACAACAGAGAAGAUGUUUUUGAAUUUCGUGCUGUAGCUAAAUGGUGAAGUUUUCAUGAAUUCAUGUUAUGAAUUGGUUCUCACUUUUUUUAUCAUAACCUUUUAUUAUCUCAUGAUUUAUUGAUUUUUUUUGUUUUUUCUGUUGAUGUUUCUGUUUGCAGAACGAUUAUUAGAUAUUGGAGAAUUAACGAGGUAUGCCUACUGCCAAGCAUGCUUGCAGAAGUACACGAUUCAAGAGAUUUUCUAUUUUGGCAGAAGUUGGUGUGCCCACCGACAAGUGUGCUCUGAAAAUUAGUCAAUUACUGCACCAGCUGGACUUAUAGAUCGGUUCACAAGGUUCUUUCUGGACAGUAGUUAUGGUUUAAUACAUUUAAAACAUGUAUGGUUGUUUGAUUCAUGAACAAAACAAAUAUAUUCUCUUUUGCGCUUUGGGCAUUUCACAUAUGACCAUUGUACUGUUGCACUAUUACUACGACCUAUGUGAAAGGUAAAUAAACCUUUCAGCAACAUAUGUCGGUAUAAUUCUCUCCCAACUAGCAUUAUAUGCCAUAUAUAGUUGUUUUUUUUACUGAAAUGUUAGGAGCCUCGUGUAUAAGGUAUGCAGAAAUUCUCACUUUGGGGAAGUGAUUAAUUCUUCAUGUGCAGUAACCUGGAGAGAUGGUGCUGGUGGAUUCUAGCCGCAAGUCGAAGACAUGCAGUUGCUUGCCGUCGAUGAAGCGACAUCAACAUGGGUAGCUGAUCCAGUCAUCUGUUAGUCUCUUCGUCUUUCUUCCUUGCACUUUGUUCUUCAGUCAUGUGUCCGGCAUCCUUCCCCAUGCUACUGACUCUAUGGUGUCGCUGGCCCAUGCUUCUGAGUUCUGACUCUCCAUUCAUAUACUCACUUCUUAGAAAUCCCAUGGCAAUUGCUUUCAUGUGAAUUUUGGUUAGUACUCCGUAUUUAUGAUGCUGCUGGCCUCAUUGCUCUGAAUAUACUACCACACUGCAUGAUAAAAUCAACAAUGACUUUUCUUAAUGCAUGUAAAUUAUCGCUUCUCUGUAAUGUUUGAUGUGAAUUUAUUCCAUGACAAUGGUGCAAACUAGGAUCUGACUGGACAAGACGGCCGCGCUGUCAGCCCAGUCUACCGCGUCCUUGCUCGCGUCAGCACACCCACUGCAAGCCUGCUGAUGGUGCAGUUGCUGAGCAGGGAGGUUAAAUCCCCGAGCCAGGCAACAAUAUGGAUGACUUGGAUUGAUAAAUUUUUUCAUUAGCAUUUAUCUCCUUAACGAGAGAACUUUUGAGAAUUUUAAUAACUUUGAAAGAUGUUUAUAUUGGCAACAGUAGUUGUAACGAAUAUUAUGUGUUUUAAGAAUAUGGUUUUUGGUGCUAACAGUUGCAGGAUUAGAUCAC